UGGGGAAUUUUGGACAAUGGGCGAAAGCCUGAUCCAGCAAUGCCGCGUGUGUGAAGAAGGCCUUCGGGUUGUAAAGCACUUUUUGUCCGGAAAGAAAUCCUUGGCUCUAAUACAGUCGGGGGAUGACGGUACCGGAAGAAUAAGCACCGGCUAACUACGUGCCAGCAGCCGCGGUAAUACGUAGGGUGCAAGCGUUAAUCGGAAUUACUGGGCGUAAAGCGUGCGCAGGCGGUUUGCUAAGACCGAUGUGAAAUCCCGGGCGUCAACCUGGGAACUGCAUUGGUGACUGGCAGGCUAGAGUAUGGCAGAGGGGGGUUAGAAUUCCACGUGUAGCAGUGAAAUGCGUAGAGAUGUGGAGGAAUACCGAUGGCGAAGGCAGCCCCCUGGGCCAAUACUGACGCUCAUGCACGAAAGCGUGGGGAGCAAACAGGAUUAGAUACCCUGGUAGUCCACGCCCUAAACGAUGUCAACUAGUUGUUGGGGAUUCAUUUCCUUAGUAACGUAGCUAACGCGUGAAGUUGACCGCCUGGGGAGUACGGUCGCAAGAUU
This 549-nucleotide ribosomal RNA is filed under the name uncultured bacterium. RNAcentral's name for it is "partial 16S ribosomal RNA". It matches the Rfam family "Bacterial small subunit ribosomal RNA", at positions 355 to 895 of the family's 1533-position model. The record is from RNAcentral.